AAAGAAAGAAAGAAAGAAAGAAACAUACAUUUCUGUUGACAGCACGUACUAUCGACUCAUUUCGCUGAAAAAUCCUGAGCUGCAGUCACGAGAAAAGUUGAAAGCACAGAGCCAGUUACUCCUGAGAAGAGAAGUAGGACCAUGAGUUUCACAGCUGGGAAGAACAGGAUACAGAGGCAUCCUUUGAGCACUAAUGGUUGGAAGAAAGGAGCUUGCUCACACAGAAGGAAGAGAGGAAGUUUCCUGAUAGAGAA
Malaclemys terrapin pileata is the source of this 254-nucleotide long non-coding RNA. RefSeq lists it as uncharacterized. Lineage: Eukaryota; Metazoa; Chordata; Testudines; Emydidae. The transcript is spliced from 3 exons. The record is from RefSeq and is a predicted model, not a curated record.